ACGAACGCUGGCGGCGUGCUUAACACAUGCAAGUCGAACGGAAAGGCCCCUUCGGGGGUACUCGAGUGGCGAACGGGUGAGUAACACGUGGGCAACCUGCCCCUAGCUCUGGGAUAACUCCGGGAAACCGGUGCUAAUACUGGAUAUCGACCUUUGCGGGCAUCCGCUUCGGUCAAAAGUUUUUCGGCUAGGGAUGGGCCCGCGGCCUAUCAGCUUGUUGGUGGGGUAAUGGCCUACCAAGGCGACGACGGGUAGCCGGCCUGAGAGGGCGACCGGCCACACUGGGACUGAGACACGGCCCAGACUCCUACGGGAGGCAGCAGUGGGGAAUAUUGCGCAAUGGGCGAAAGCCUGACGCAGCGACGCCGCGUGAGGGAUGACGGCCUUCGGGUUGUAAACCUCUUUCAGCUCUGACGAAUUUGACGGUAGGAGCAGAAGAAGCACCGGCUAACUACGU
This 457-nucleotide ribosomal RNA is filed under the name uncultured bacterium. RNAcentral's name for it is "bacterial SSU rRNA". It matches the Rfam family "Bacterial small subunit ribosomal RNA", at positions 29 to 506 of the family's 1533-position model. The record is from RNAcentral.